ACUCACAACCUCUCGGUUGGAAGUGGGGGUUGCUUACCAUCAGAGCAACCCUUCUUGUCUUAGUUUUGCUUAACUAACUAAUCCCUCAAUUCAGUUAUAAUGCAUCACUACAGCUACAUUUAUUUCAACACUCCCCUCAAGCCGGGGAUGGAAAAUGUACCAUCCCCAACUUGAACACUAACUCAAUAUAUAGUUGUUUCCCUAAUUUCUUAAGUCAA
This 218-nucleotide long non-coding RNA is filed under the name Nicotiana benthamiana. RNAcentral describes it as "long non-coding RNA (NBEN_LNC000569)". Lineage: Eukaryota; Viridiplantae; Streptophyta; Magnoliopsida; Solanales; Solanaceae. The record is from RNAcentral.